This 93-nucleotide transfer RNA is filed under the name Periconia macrospinosa. RNAcentral's name for it is "tRNA-Pro". The record is from RNAcentral. Lineage: Eukaryota; Fungi; Ascomycota; Dothideomycetes; Pleosporales; Periconiaceae.
GGUCUUGUGGUCUAGUGGUAUGAUUCUCGCUUAGGGCGCCCAGUUCCUGAGCAACAUUGCGAGAGGCCCCGCGUUCGAAUCGCGGCAAGACCC